Molecule: small nuclear RNA, 154 nt
Filed under: Myotis brandtii (Brandt's bat)
Lineage: Eukaryota; Metazoa; Chordata; Mammalia; Chiroptera; Vespertilionidae
Description: U4 spliceosomal RNA
Rfam family: U4 spliceosomal RNA (bases 1-83)
About the family: U4 small nuclear RNA (U4 snRNA) is a component of the major U2-dependent spliceosome.
Source: Rfam by way of RNAcentral
AGCUCUGCACAGUAGCAGUAUCUUAGCCAGUGAGGUUUAUCUGAGGCGCAAUUAUUGCUAAUUGAAAAGAAAAAAAAAAACAAACAAUAGCCCAUCCCACGUUGUUCUUCAGGCUUAAAUUACCUGAAAGGUAAUAUAGUGAUUUAAACCUAAA